UUUCCAGACUCCUACGGGAGGCAGCAGUGGGGAAUAUUGGGCAAUGGAGGAAACUCUUACCCAGCAAUGCCGCGUGAAUGAAGAAGGUCUUCGGAUUGUAAAGUUCUUUAAUUGGGGACGAAAAAAAUGACGGUACCCAAGGAAUAAGCCCCGGCUAACUACGUGCCAGCAGCCGCGGUAAUACGUAGGUGGCAAGCGUUAUCCGGAUUUAUUGGGUGUAAAGGGCGUGUAGGCGGGAAUGCAAGUCAGAUGUGAAAACUAUGGGCUCAACCCAUAGCCUGCAUUUGAAACUGUAUUUCUUGAGUGCUGGAGAGGCAAUCGGAAUUCCGUGUGUAGCGGUGAAAUGCGUAGAUAUACGGAGGAACACCAGUGGCGAAGGCGGAUUGCUGGACAGUAACUGACGCUGAGGCGCGAAAGCGUGGGGAGCAAACAGGAUUAGAUACCCUCGUAAG
This 452-nucleotide ribosomal RNA is filed under the name uncultured bacterium. RNAcentral's name for it is "partial 16S ribosomal RNA". It matches the Rfam family "Bacterial small subunit ribosomal RNA", at positions 328 to 793 of the family's 1533-position model. The record is from RNAcentral.